AAGCACCUUCUGAGACACAAUCCAGUUUGGGAGAGGCCUUGUUAAACAGUCCUUUGAAAGAGCCUGGUGCAUUUUCAGCAGGGCUUUCAGAGACGGCCACAGAAUGCAACCAAAAUGAAGCCGCAAGUCAUUCAGGGCCUGGUCUGGUCAGCAGUGUUGAAAAGACGGCCACAGAAUGCAACCAAAAUGAAGCCGCAAGUCAUUCAGGGCCUGGUCUGGUCAGCAGUGUUGAAAAGACGGCCACAGAAUGCAACCAAAAUGAAGCCGCAAGUCAUUCAGGGCCUGGUCUGGUCAAUAGUGUUGAAAAGG
Molecule: long non-coding RNA, 309 nt
Organism: Brienomyrus brachyistius
Lineage: Eukaryota; Metazoa; Chordata; Actinopteri; Osteoglossiformes; Mormyridae
Exons: 4
Source: RefSeq, a predicted model, not a curated record